RNAcentral lists this ribosomal RNA (425 nucleotides) under uncultured bacterium. RNAcentral describes it as "partial 16S ribosomal RNA". It matches the Rfam family "Bacterial small subunit ribosomal RNA", at positions 354 to 796 of the family's 1533-position model. The record is from RNAcentral.
GUGGGGAAUCUUGCGCAAUGGGCGAAAGCCUGACGCAGCCAUGCCGCGUGAAUGAUGAAGGUCUUAGGAUUGUAAAAUUCUUUCACCGGGGACGAUAAUGACGGUACCCGGAGAAGAAGCUCCGGCUAACUUCGUGCCAGCAGCCGCGGUAAUACGAAGGGGGCUAGCGUUGCUCGGAAUUACUGGGCGUAAAGGGCGCGUAGGCGGACAGCUUAGUCAGAGGUGAAAGCCCAGGGCUCAACCUUGGAAUUGCCUUUGAUACUGGCUGUCUUGAGUUUGGGAGAGGUGAGUGGAACUCCGAGUGUAGAGGUGAAAUUCGUAGAUAUUCGGAAGAACACCAGCGGCGAAGGCGACUCACUGGCCCAAUACUGACGCUGAGGCGCGAAAGCGUGGGGAGCAAACAGGAUUAGAAACCCUUGUAGUCC